AGCGUACAAGGUGGAUGCCUUGGCAAUCAGAGGCGAAGAAGGACGUGCUAAUCUGCGAAAAGCUUGGAUGAGUCGAUAAGAGGCGUUUAAUCCAAGAUGUCCGAAUGGGGAAACCCAGUAGAUGAAGAAUCUACUAUCACUUACUGAAUCCAUAGGUAAGUGAGGCAAACCGGGAGAACUGAAACAUCUAAGUACCCCGAGGAAAAGAAAUCAACCGAGAUUUCGUUAGUAGCGGCGAGCGAACGCGAAGGAGCCUGUUAGUGAUAAUGACAGAGACAGAGGAACAAGCUGGGAAGCUUGGCGAUACAGGGUGAUAGCCCCGUACUCGAAGUCCAGGUCAUGGUACUAAGCUAACGACAAGUAGGGCGGGACACGUGAUAUCCUGUUUGAAGAAGGGGGGACCAUCCUCCAAGGCUAAAUACUCCUGAUUGACCGAUAGUGAACCAGUACUGUGAAGGAAAGGCGAAAAGAACCCCGGUGAGGGGAGUGAAAUAGAACCUGAAACCUUGUACGUACAAGCAGUGGGAGCCCUUUAAGGGUGACUGCGUACCUUUUGUAUAAUGGGUCAGCGACUUAUAUUUUGUAGCGAGGUUAACCGAAUAGGGGAGCCGAAGGGAAACCGAGUCUUAACUGGGCGUCUAGUUGCAAGGUAUAGACCCGAAACCCGGUGAUCUAGCCAUGGGCAGGUUGAAGGUUGGGUAACACUAACUGGAGGACCGAACCGACUAAUGUUGAAAAAUUAGCGGAUGACUUGUGGCUGGGGGUGAAAGGCCAAUCAAACCGGGAGAUAGCUGGUUCUCCCCGAAAUCUAUUUAGGUAGAGCCUUGAGCGGACACCUUCGGGGGUAGAGCACUGUUUCGGCUAGGGGUCCAUCCCGGAUUACCAACCCGAUGCAAACUACGAAUACCGAAGAGUGAUACUCAGGAGACACACGGCGGGUGCUAACGUCCGUCGUGGAGAGGGAAACAACCCAGACCGCCAGCUAAGGUCCCAAAGUCUAUAUUAAGUGGGAAACGAAGUGGGAAGGCUUAGACAGCUAGGAUGUUGGCUUAGAAGCAGCCAUCAUUUAAAGAAAGCGUAAUAGCUCACUAGUCGAGUCGGCCUGCGCGGAAGAUGUAACGGGGCUCAAAUAUAGCACCGAAGCUGCGGCAUCAGUAGCAAUACUGUUGGGUAGGGGAGCGUUCUGUAAGCGGAUGAAGGUUAAUCGAGAGGUUAGCUGGACGUAUCAGAAGUGCGAAUGCUGACAUAAGUAACGAUAAAACGGGUGAAAAACCCGUUCGCCGGAAGACCAAGGGUUCCUGUCCAACGUUAAUCGGGGCAGGGUGAGUCGGCCCCUAAGGCGAGGCUGAAAAGCGUAGUCGAUGGGAAACGGGUUAAUAUUCCCGUACUUGGAUAAACUGCGAUGUGGGGACGGAGCAGGUUAGGUUAUCGCACUGUUGGAUAUGUGCGUUUAAGUUUGUAGGUGUGAAGUUUAGGCAAAUCCGGACUUCUUUAACACUGAGAGAUGAUGACGAGGCUCUACGGAGCUGAAGUAACCGAUACCACACUUCCAGGAAAAGCCACUAAGCUUCAGGUUUAUCUAAACCGUACUGAAAACCGACACAGGUGGUCAGGUAGAGAAUACUCAGGCGCUUGAGAGAACUCGGGUGAAGGAACUAGGCAAAAUAGCACCGUAACUUCGGGAGAAGGUGCGCCGGCGUAGAUUGUAAGGGCUUGCCCCUGAAGGUUGAACCGGUCGAAGAUACCAGCUGGCUGCAACUGUUUAUUAAAAACACAGCACUCUGCAAACACGAAAGUGGACGUAUAGGGUGUGAUGCCUGCCCGGUGCUGGAAGGUUAAUUGAUGGUGUAAUCGAAAGAGAAGCUCCUGAUCGAAGCCCCAGUAAACGGCGGCCGUAACUAUAACGGUCCUAAGGUAGCGAAAUUCCUUGUCGGGUAAGUUCCGACCUGCACGAAUGGCAUAAUGAUGGCCAGGCUGUCUCCACCCGAGACUCAGUGAAAUUGAAAUCGCCGUGAAGAUGCGGUGUACCCGCGGCUAGACGGAAAGACCCCGUGAACCUUUACUAUAGCUUGACACUGAACAUUGAAUUUUGAUGUGUAGGAUAGGUGGGAGACUUAGAAGUAGUCACGCCAGUGAUUAUGGAGUCGUCCUUGAAAUACCACCCUUUAACGUUUGAUGUUCUAACGAAGAUUACGAAACGUGGUCUCGGACAGUGUCUGGUGGGUAGUUUGACUGGGGCGGUCUCCUCCCAAAGAGUAACGGAGGAGCACGAAGGUUGGCUAAUCCUGGUCGGACAUCAGGAGGU
RNAcentral lists this ribosomal RNA (2305 nucleotides) under human gut metagenome. Its description in RNAcentral is "bacterial LSU rRNA". It matches the Rfam family "Bacterial large subunit ribosomal RNA", at positions 14 to 2346 of the family's 2925-position model. The record is from RNAcentral.